Gallus gallus (chicken) is the source of this 98-nucleotide microRNA precursor. Lineage: Eukaryota; Metazoa; Chordata; Aves; Galliformes; Phasianidae. The record is from Ensembl.
UCGCUGGGCGGAGGGCGCGGGUCGCCUUCCGUCCCGCGGCUCUCGGGCGGCCGUAGGGCCGUGGGACGGCAGCUCCGAGCCGUGCGCCGUGCCGGCGG